CGGAAAUUCUGCCUCCGAGAUGAUUAAGCAAAUGCUUGUUUUUGCCGGUAGUGAAAAGGAGAAUUUUGCUUGCUAUUCGUCAAAGCUUUUCAGAGAGACUAUGAAUCCUCCAGUACUAGUGUUUGUUCAAAGCAAAGAAAGAGCCAAGGAACUUUACAAGGAAUUAGCAUUUGAUGACAUAAAAUUUGAUGUUAUUCAUGCAGACAUUUCCCAGCAGCAGCGAGAAGAUGCAGUUGAUAACUUCAGAUCGGGCAAGACAUGGGUUCUGAUAUAGCAACUGAUGUUGUUUCUCGGGGUAUGGAUUUUAAGGGGAUCAACUGUGUGAUCAACUAUGAUUUUCCUGAAUCAGCUGCAGCAUAUAUUCAUAGAAUUGGUCCUAAAGGACUGUUUUGUAUUCUCCUACUCAUGUGAGGUCUACUACAAUCAUGGAUUUGUUUUGCAUUCUCCUACUCAUAUCUUGCACAAAGACUGAAAUAAUAAUAUCUGGAGAUACUUUAGGAGUUUGACUCAAAUAUGUGGUUCCUCUCAACCCAGAUAUGAUAUAUGAUAGCUAUGAAAGAUAGUUUCUCAA
Molecule: long non-coding RNA, 571 nt
Organism: Musa acuminata AAA Group (dessert banana)
Lineage: Eukaryota; Viridiplantae; Streptophyta; Magnoliopsida; Zingiberales; Musaceae
Exons: 4
Source: RefSeq, a predicted model, not a curated record